GUUCAGUUAACUUAAUAUACUAAAAGUAUAAGACUCUUAAUCUUAAAAAGGCAGAGAAUAACUGCCACAGAACA
RNAcentral lists this transfer RNA (74 nucleotides) under Ophiarachnella gorgonia. Its description in RNAcentral is "tRNA-Lys". It matches the Rfam family "tRNA". From Rfam's summary of the family: Transfer RNA (tRNA) molecules are approximately 80 nucleotides in length. The record is from RNAcentral. Lineage: Eukaryota; Metazoa; Echinodermata; Ophiuroidea; Amphilepidida; Ophiodermatidae.